This 376-nucleotide ribosomal RNA is filed under the name Klebsiella quasipneumoniae subsp. similipneumoniae. RNAcentral describes it as "bacterial SSU rRNA". It matches the Rfam family "Bacterial small subunit ribosomal RNA", at positions 251 to 619 of the family's 1533-position model. Lineage: Bacteria; Pseudomonadati; Pseudomonadota; Gammaproteobacteria; Enterobacterales; Enterobacteriaceae. The record is from RNAcentral.
GGUGGGGUAACGGCUCACCUAGGCGACGAUCCCUAGCUGGUCUGAGAGGAUGACCAGCCACACUGGAACUGAGACACGGUCCAGACUCCUACGGGAGGCAGCAGUGGGGAAUAUUGCACAAUGGGCGCAAGCCUGAUGCAGCCAUGCCGCGUGUAUGAAGAAGGCCUUCGGGUUGUAAAGUACUUUCAGCGGGGAGGAAGGCGAUAAGGUUAAUAACCUUGUCGAUUGACGUUACCCGCAGAAGAAGCACCGGCUAACUCCGUGCCAGCAGCCGCGGUAAUACGGAGGGUGCAAGCGUUAAUCGGAAUUACUGGGCGUAAAGCGCACGCAGGCGGUCUGUCAAGUCGGAUGUGAAAUCCCCGGGCUCAACCUGGGA